RNAcentral lists this ribosomal RNA (835 nucleotides) under Osornophryne guacamayo (Guacamayo plump toad). Its description in RNAcentral is "partial 16S ribosomal RNA". It matches the Rfam family "Bacterial large subunit ribosomal RNA", at positions 1498 to 2598 of the family's 2925-position model. Lineage: Eukaryota; Metazoa; Chordata; Amphibia; Anura; Bufonidae. The record is from RNAcentral.
AACUCCUCACUCCCGUACUAAGCAAUACUAUACCUCUAUAGAAAAUUUUAUGUUAAAACUAGUAACAAGAAGACAGACCUUCUCUUAAAGGUAAACGUAAAUCAUAAGGACAAACCACUGAUAUUUAACGCUCAAGAACCAGAAGUAAUAACCAACCAAGAAAACUUUACUUUAAUUAACGUUAACCUAACACAAGAGCAUUUCAAGAAAGAUUAAAAGAAAAAGAAGGAACUCGGCAAACUUUAACCUCGCCUGUUUACCAAAAACAUCACCUCUUGAUAAUAAUGAGAGGCCCAGCCUGCCCAGUGACCCAGUUCAACGGCCGCGGUAUCCUAACCGUGCGAAGGUAGCGUAAUCACUUGUUCUUUAAAUAAGGACUAGUAUGAACGGCAUCACGAGGGUUAUGCUGUCUCCUUUUUCCAAUCAGUGAAACUAAUUUCCCCGUGAAGAAGCGGGGAUAAAAUUAUAAGACGAGAAGACCCUAUGGAGCUUCAAACAACACAACAAAUGCCAAACAACUUAAAAAUUUCAUAACUCCAAAUUUACUCAGCAUUAUGAUUGUUAGUUUUAGGUUGGGGUGACCGCGGAGCAAAACACAACCUCCACAUUGAAAGAAUUUUAUUCUAAGCCAAGAACCACAACUCAAAGCAUCUAUAUAUUGACAUUAAUUGACCCAAUAAACUUGAACAACGAACCAAGUUACCCUAGGGAUAACAGCGCAAUCUACUUCAAGAGCCCCUAUCGACAAGUAGGUUUACGACCUCGAUGUUGGAUCAGGGUCUCCAAGUGGUGCAGCCGCUACUAAAGGUUCGUUUGUUCAACGAUUAAUACCCUA